RNAcentral lists this ribosomal RNA (301 nucleotides) under uncultured bacterium. RNAcentral's name for it is "partial 16S ribosomal RNA". It matches the Rfam family "Bacterial small subunit ribosomal RNA", at positions 509 to 807 of the family's 1533-position model. The record is from RNAcentral.
CAGUAGCCGCGGUAAUACAGAGGGUGCAAGCGUUAAUCGGAAUUACUGGGCGUAAAGCGCGCGUAGGUGGUUCGCCAAGUUGGAUGUGAAAUCCCCGGGCUCAACCUGGGAACUGCAUCCAAAACUGGCGAGCUAGAGUAUGGUAGAGGGUGGUGGAAUUUCCUGUGUAGCGGUGAAAUGCGUAGAUAUAGGAAGGAACAUCAGUGGCGAAGGCGACCACCUGGACUGAUACUGACACUGAGGUGCGAAAGCGUGGGGAGCAAACAGGAUUAGAUACCCCCGUAGUCCCUGUCUCUUAUAC